RNA transcript from Quercus robur (English oak), 1213 nucleotides. RefSeq lists it as uncharacterized. NCBI's taxonomy places the organism in Eukaryota, Viridiplantae, Streptophyta, Magnoliopsida, Fagales, Fagaceae. The record is from RefSeq and is a predicted model, not a curated record. The transcript has 5 exons.
GGAAAUCGGGCCACCAAAACCGAAUCUCCAGAGUCAGCCAGUCUUGGUCACCAUGGAAAUAUAGCAAAAGUCCCUCAGUUCAGUGCCAGAGGAAAAGUACGAAGAAAAUGGAUUCUGGGUUUCUCAUAUUGCUUCUGUUUUUCAAUCUUCUCCUCUCCUUUUCAUUUGGUAAACCUGAUGGAGUGUGCGUCUCCCAAGGUGGUCGCUUUCCACGUUUCUCAUCUGAAGGAAAACCUCCCAAAAAGGUAAGUAAGGGAACAAAAGAUUUGACCCUUUGUAGGGUGUUUCGCAAAAAGACUUGCUGUGAUGUAGCCCAGACACAUCCUGCGCUUCUAUCAGUUAGGAGGCUGGCUUCAACAGGAGAAGCCAGCCAAGAUUGCUUGGACUUAUGGGAAUUAUUGGAAUGUUCGAUCUGUGAUCCACGUGUUGGUGUUCAGCCUGGACCUCCUCUGAUAUGUGGCUCUUUUUGUGACAAAGUCUAUAAGGCUUGCUCUAAUGCUUACUUCUCCGUGGAUGCAAAGACACAGGUUCUAGCACCAUGUGGUGUAAAUGACUUUGUCUGUGGUAGGGCUUUGGAAUGGGUAUCAAAUGGCACAGCACUAUGCCAUGCUGCAGGUUUUGCUGUUAACCCAUCUGACAAAAUGUACACUGGAACGGAAGAAUCAUCUUGCUAUGGUGGUAAAGCCAGUCUAGAUUCUGUUGCUGACUCAUGGAGGGCUUCACAUUCUGAGGUGCCCCAUAAAGCUCAGACUUUGGGGGUAUUCGAAGAUUUCCUGCAAUGGAUGAGAGAAAUGCCAUUUAAUGAAAGAGUUUCUUGGGCAGUGGGAGGGAUGGUUCUUACAGCAGGAUUAUUGUAUAUAAGGUAGAAUGUGCUGAAUUUUUUGAGGUUGCUGGUUUCUUCCCCAAGCUUUUUAUAUCACUUUUUGUUAAUUAUGCAAAAGGAAGAGCCAUAGCCAGCGCCAGAAGCUUGCGGCUAUUCAACGCACUGCAAGGAAACUAGAAGGCAAGAUCAAUGACCAGAAAUUGUCUAGUAACCAUGGAAGUAGGAAAGGAAAGUAGAAGAUGACUCUUUUUGUAUGUGAACAUAAAUAGUUUUUGGACAAAUAACAUGUGACUCUUCAUCUUUUUUUUUUCAACUUAUAAUGUUAUAAGUGAAUAUUUUUUGUUAUUUUUAUUUGCUCUUCUGAAAGGUAGAUUAUGCCUUGGUUUUGAA